Molecule: long non-coding RNA, 919 nt
Filed under: Homo sapiens (human)
Lineage: Eukaryota; Metazoa; Chordata; Mammalia; Primates; Hominidae
Description: HSALNT0156342
Source: RNAcentral
CAUCGGCAGUGAGGGCUCCCAUCUCUCAUUUCUCAAAGAGCCGAGACUUUCAGCGAGGCCACUUGCCAUUCCUGGAAGAAGAGCUUCAAGCUUUUAGACAUCUGCCACCUGAAUCUGGCAGAGGCUCAAGCUUUUAAAGCACAGUGCCGGGUUCAGCAGUUCAGCACUUUAGUUAUGCCUGUAAGGAAGAUGGAAAAUUGAAGUACACUCUGAUGUCUCCCGAAGUCCCCUAUGGGUAAAGAAAAACAAAUAUGAUUUCUCCAAGUCAUCUUGGUGUCUCUGUCCUCUUGCCUUUCUCUGGGAAAUAAAUUUAAGUGAACGGUCGAGCAUCGCGCCUGCCAAAAAUGGGGGCGUCUCCAUCAGAGCUCGAUUCAAAUGCCAACUACCCCGGGCUCUGUUCUGUUAAAGGUCACCUGUCAUUGUCCACCCGAGGCAUGGAGAUUGCUUUGGAGCUCUGAUUUCCAUGGCGGGGAAGGCAUGUUUAUCUUCUCCAAUGUCUUAUUCACCGCUGGCUUAGGCCGAACUGUUACCGGUUGAGUACAACCCACUGGGCCCCUAAUAAGAGCUUGGAAUCCACAGGAGGGAAAGAAAUUGAGAUGCGCUUUGCCAAUGAAGAGUUGUAAACCUUAAAGGUAGGCAAAGAGAAGUCUUUUCAGGAGGGGAAAUUUCCUGCCUGUGAAGGUUCUCAGACACUACAGCAGGAAAUGGAGAACAGUCAUCCCUUUGUCUCCAAAGGACAUGUUUACCCAGAAUGCUGUGCUGAGAGCAGGGGAUGGCAAAGGGACCCUGGAAACCUCUCCCUGACCUCCAAGAGUCAGCAGGAAAGUUGAACCAGCAAUGCAGGCUGGACUGGGGGGCUCUUAGAAAGCUCUUAGGAAAAAAUGUUAAGUGGUAAAUAAACUGAGUUUCAGUAUACUGC